AUUGAACGCUGGCGGCAUGCCUAACACAUGCAAGUCGAACGGAGGGCUUCGGCCCUUAGUGGCGGACGGGUGAGUAACGCGUAGGGAUCUGCCCCGCAGUGGGGGACAACCUGGGGAAACUCAGGCUAAUACCGCAUACGCUCCAUGGAGGAAAGCGGGGGACCUUCGGGCCUCGCGCUGCGGGAUGAACCUACGUCCGAUUAGCUAGUUGGUGGGGUAAGGGCCCACCAAGGCGACGAUCGGUAGCUGGUCUGAGAGGACGGCCAGCCACACUGGGACUGAGACACGGCCCAGACUCCUACGGGAGGCAGCAGUGGGGAAUAUUGGACAAUGGGCGCAAGCCUGAUCCAGCAAUGCCGCGUGGGUGAAGACGGCCUGCGGGUUGUAAAGCCCUUUAGGCGGGGAAGAACGGCCGGGCGCAAAUAGCGCGCGGCUCUGACGUUACCCGCAGAAUAAGCACCGGCUCAAUC
RNAcentral lists this ribosomal RNA (470 nucleotides) under uncultured bacterium. RNAcentral describes it as "bacterial SSU rRNA". It matches the Rfam family "Bacterial small subunit ribosomal RNA", at positions 28 to 503 of the family's 1533-position model. The record is from RNAcentral.